UCUAUUUUAUUAUUGACAGAGGUGAUAUAUGAUAGGAAGGAAAGGAGAGGGAAGGAAAUGGAGAGAUGGGAUGAAGGGUUGGAGUGGGAAGAGGUGGAGCCCCCACAGUGUCAGUCCCAUGUCAACAAGGAAUGGGAAAUGAUGGGCGGCGACGAUUGCUCCAUCUUCCCUCCCAGCUCUCACGAAGGCCUCCCCAUCUCCAACACCCUUGAUGUAGGAGGAGCACCACCAGCAGCAGAACCCCCUCCAUCAGUCGUCAUCGAUAGAGGAAGAGAUAUUGGAGAGCUGCCGGUUCAGCCAACAUCACGGCCCUCCACUUUCACUCUCCUCCGUUUCUCCAAGCACCAAUUUCACCUCAUUCGCUCUAAGCUUCUUCUUAUUCUCCGUCCUUUAACACCAUGUCCGGUUUGGUCAUUCGCCCCCGCCGCCAUCACUCUACUGGGAGCAUUAAUUUAUAGGUGUCGUCGCCGGGCCUUGUCCAUGGACAAGGAAUCCUCUAUGCUUCUCCUCAUCCGCGACAAGGAUGAGGGAAGCAGAUGCUCAACUGACUGAAGCGUGAGGGGAAGUUGAGGCUGAUUGGGUGUGGGAGGGGGGAAGCAUUCGUUUCAUAAUGUUGGCAGGUAUAAACACCUAUGAAGCAGGUGUAGGAGUAACACAUUGGGUGGAAGUUCUUGUAAUCAAGCGCGGACCUCUUUGAGAAGAUACCAUGGAAUGCAUCUGAGUGGUGUAUUUUGAAAGUGAAGGUUUGUGGAAUUGUUUAUUGAAAAAUAAAUCAAGUGUGCGGAUGUUGCCUGACUGCUUAAUUGUUUGAUGUUCAGUUACCAUUGGUGGUAGAUUAGGAAGUCGGCUGCUUGAGAACAAGUGGUGCAAAAUACUUUUAUGGCCAAAAGGGUUGGGCAGGAAAUAAGCAAGAGCAGCAACAGAAUUGUAAGAACUUAGUUUAGGAACUGAAGUGUCUCGAAAUGACAAUCCAAAGCAUGAGUGGCACCUUAAGUUGAAGAUUCAUGCAGAAGAUUAGUCAGCUCAUGCAUCAAAUCACGGAAAUGAAUAAGGUAGUGUCUGCACGCCGUAGUGUUCCUGUACUGAGGAGUGCUUGAUCCUAAAGGGCUUCUUGACCUGAUAUGUUUUUGGGAGCAAUCUAUUCAUUUGCCAAGUGUAUAUCAGUGAUUCAUCUGGUUUCAUUGUUAGAGGGUUGCAAGAUUUUUGAGCUUUCAUGACUGAUUCUUAAAAA
Magnolia sinica is the source of this 1231-nucleotide RNA transcript. RefSeq lists it as uncharacterized. The record is from RefSeq and is a predicted model, not a curated record. NCBI's taxonomy places the organism in Eukaryota, Viridiplantae, Streptophyta, Magnoliopsida, Magnoliales, Magnoliaceae. The transcript has 3 exons.